RNAcentral lists this ribosomal RNA (493 nucleotides) under uncultured bacterium. RNAcentral describes it as "bacterial SSU rRNA". It matches the Rfam family "Bacterial small subunit ribosomal RNA", at positions 28 to 513 of the family's 1533-position model. The record is from RNAcentral.
GAUGAACGCUAGCGGCAGGCUUAAUACAUGCAAGUCGAGGGGCAGCAUGACUGUAGCAAUACAGUUGAUGGCGACCGGCAAACGGGUGCGGAACACGUACAGAACCUUCCUUCGAGCGGGGAAUAGCCCAGAGAAAUUUGGAUUAAUACCCCAUAGUAUAUUAGAGUGGCAUCACUUUGAUAUUAAAGAUUUAUCACUUGAAGAUGGCUGUGCGGCUGAUUAGGUAGUUGGCGGGGUAACGGCCCACCAAGCCUUCGAUCAGUAACUGGUGUGAGAGCACGACCAGUCACACGGGCACUGAGACACGGGCCCGACUCCUACGGGAGGCAGCAGUAAGGAAUAUUGGUCAAUGGACGAAAGUCUGAACCAGCCAUGCCGCGUGGAGGAUGAAAGUCCUCUGGAUUGUAAACUUCUUUUAUAUGGGACGAAAAAAGGGUUUCUAACUCGUCUGACGGUACCAUAUGAAUAAGCACCGGCUAACUCCGUGCCAGCA